GCCGAAGUGGUGGAAUUGGUAGACGCGCUAGUUUCAGGGACUAGUGAGAGCAAUCUCGUGGGAGUUCGAGUCUCCCCUUCGGCACCA
RNAcentral lists this transfer RNA (87 nucleotides) under Desulfoluna butyratoxydans. Its description in RNAcentral is "tRNA-Leu". It matches the Rfam family "tRNA". From Rfam's summary of the family: Transfer RNA (tRNA) molecules are approximately 80 nucleotides in length. Their secondary structure includes four short double-helical elements and three loops (D, anti-codon, and T loops). RNAcentral also lists the same sequence under 4 other names. The record is from RNAcentral. Lineage: Bacteria; Pseudomonadati; Thermodesulfobacteriota; Desulfobacteria; Desulfobacterales; Desulfolunaceae.